GUCGACCACUGAGCUAGAGAUAGAGGGGAUCAUCACUCCCACUGCUAAACCCUAAACCCAACGCCGCCAUGGCCGCCGCCGUCCGCCUCAUCCUGCGCCGCCGCCUCUCCACCGCUACCGCCACGCCCCCAACCCCGGCUUCCAUCCUGAACCCCUCCUCCCCGACCUCCGCUCUCACCUCGCGACAGAAGACCCGCCUCGCCAUCUCCCUCCUCAAGUCCUCCCCGCCGCCGCCGCCCGACCAGAUCCUCUCCAUCUGCCGCGCCGCUGCACUCUCUCCAAACACCCACCUCGACCGUGUUGCCCUCUCCCUCGCCACCUCGAGGCUCUCCUCCGCCCCGGACUCCCUCCGAGACCUUACAUCCUCCCUUCUCAUCCCCCACCACGCGCCCCACGCCAUCGCGCUCUUUGGCCAGGCCGGCCUCCUCCCCGACGCCAUUUCCACCUUCCAGUCAUCCCCCUCCACUCGCUCCCUGAACGCCCUCCUUUUUGCCUGCCUCGUCGCUGGCAACCAUGCCGAGGCCGCGCGCAUCUUCCAGACCUUCCCUGACGCUCACAACGUCAAGCCCAACACCGAGACCUUCAACGCCAUUAUAAAGUCCUUUUCUGAGUCCGGCACCACAAGGUCCUUCUACUCGGUGUUCGAUGAAAUGUGCAAGAAGGGCGUGAAGCCCAAUGCUACCACAUUUACUACCGCGAUUGCUGGAUUUUACAAGGAGGAGCAGUUUGGUGACGUGGAGAAGGUGAUUGAGCUCAUGAAGAAGCACGGAUGUGGUGAGUCACUACAAGUGUACAAUGCAAGGGUCCAGGGGCUGUGUAAACUUGGCCGGAGUGGCGAGGCAAAGGCAUUACUGAAUGAGAUGGUCAAGAGAGGGACGAAGCCAAGCUGGGUAACUUAUAACCAUCUGAUUUAUGGUUUCUGUAAGGAAGGGGAUUUGGAGGAAGUGAAGCGGCUAUACAAGGAGAUGGGAAAGAAGGGACUUGUUGGGGACAGUAGCUUCUAUUUUACCCUUAUCUUUUACCUUUGUAAGGCUGGUGAUUUUGAUUCAGCACUUGGGGUAUACAAUGAGACAACAGCUAGAAGUUGGGUGCCAUGCUUCUCGACAAUGAAGAUGCUUGUGAAUGGCCUUGCUGGGAGCUCAAAGGUCGAUGAAGCAAAAGGGAUCAUUGAGAAGAUGAAGGAGAAGUUCCCGGAUAAAGCUGAAGGAUGGAAGGAGGUAGAGGAGGCAUUACCUCAAUAGAAUAAUAGAUGGGCGAACUCACAGUGUGCAUUACAGAAGCUAUUCUAUCUGUGGAAGAAGUUGCAAUUUGACUUAUGGUAAAGUGGCGUGCUUCUGUAGGACCCUCAUGUACAUCAUGACCUCUACAGCAUGAAAGACUACUGUUAGUGACCCAAGUUUGUUGCGUUUUCAGAAUGUUUGUCGGUGCGUGCCAAGUUGAGAGCUGCGCUAGUAUUUGAUCAACUGUUCUGAGCAUGCGGAGCUUUGUGUCAGAUGUAUUUUUUUCUAUUGAAAAUAUGCUAAUCCCAGCUGCGGUAAGAUAUUGCCCAUCACAUUAUUGUUAAGGCAUUUGAAAAUACCAUAAUAUCCGAGGUAAGGCCAUCUACUUAAUACUUUGCGGA
This is an RNA transcript of Brachypodium distachyon (stiff brome), 1621 nucleotides long. It is a transcript of the gene named pentatricopeptide repeat-containing protein At1g61870, mitochondrial, with no coding region annotated. The transcript has 3 exons. Lineage: Eukaryota; Viridiplantae; Streptophyta; Magnoliopsida; Poales; Poaceae. The record is from RefSeq and is a predicted model, not a curated record.